This 254-nucleotide ribosomal RNA is filed under the name uncultured bacterium. RNAcentral's name for it is "partial 16S ribosomal RNA". It matches the Rfam family "Bacterial small subunit ribosomal RNA", at positions 524 to 776 of the family's 1533-position model. The record is from RNAcentral.
GACGUAGGGCGCAAGCGUUGUCCGGAUUUAUUGGGCGUAAAGAGCUCGUAGGCGGCUUGUCGCGUCGACUGUGAAAACCCGCGGCUCAACCGUGUGGCUUGCAGUUGAUACGGGCAGGCUAGAGUUCGGUAGGGGAGACUGGAAUUCCUGGUGUAGCGGUGAAAUGCGCAGAUAUCAGGAGGAACACCGGUGGCGAAGGCGGGUCUCUGGGCCGAUACUGACGCUGAGGAGCGAAAGCGUGGGGAGCGAACAGG